CGGAACUACAAGUGAUCACAGUGCACACCGCGUUACAGUCAAUCGCUACAUUUCAGCUAGUCAAACACGCACUCACAGAGAUACAUACCCUACCUAACUCACUUAUCUUACAACAGUAGGCAAGAACGCAAACCUAACGUGGCGAGCAUCCAUUUAGUCAUCAACGUAGGCUUACUACUUGCACUGGAACCGUAGGCUGGCAACGUUAACACUUCAAGACAACAAGAAAAUUGAAAGUGUUGAUAAGAGAUAAGUGUUACACGGACCCUCCACCACCAGGCUGCUAAACUGCUUCCUGCCACAGCAGCGCAGCAGAAGAUCCUCCACCACCAGGGGCGCUAGCGCAGCAGAAGAUCCUCCACCACCAGGGGCGCUAGCGCAGCAGAAGAUCCUCCACCACCAGGGGCGCUAGCGCAGCAGAAGAUCCUCCACCACCAGGCUGCUAAACUGCUUCCUGCCACAAGCUGCCACUCUACAUCCACACACACAACACACUUUUUAACAUCUGUUGCACUUUAUGUAUUUUAUCAGAGAAUACUAUAUUUAUUUAUACCUACACUUGUUUCAUUCUAGCUGUUAGCAUGGGGAAUGAAAGAAGGAAUUAAUGAAUUAAUGUAUGAAUUGAAUUAAUGUAUGAGGUGUGAAAAAAUCUAGAUCUUGAACUUGAUCUCAGAGAAUCUUGUCUUGUUGUUACCCUGGUAUGAACAAAAUGACAAUAAAGUUCGAUUUGAUUUGA
This is a long non-coding RNA of Alosa sapidissima (American shad), 736 nucleotides long. RefSeq lists it as uncharacterized. Lineage: Eukaryota; Metazoa; Chordata; Actinopteri; Clupeiformes; Clupeidae. The record is from RefSeq and is a predicted model, not a curated record. The transcript is spliced from 2 exons.